GACGAGGGGUCCUAGCGUUGUUCGGAAUCACUGGGCGUAAAGCGUUUGUAGGCGGCUCUGUAAGUCGGGUGUGAAAUCCCACGGCUCAACCGUGGAAGUGCAUUCGAAACUGCAGGGCUUGAAUAUGGAAGAGGAGAGUAGAAUUCCAGGUGUAGUGGUGAAAUACGUAGAUAUCUGGAGGAAUACCGGUGGCGAAGGCGGCUCUCUGGUCCAAUAUUGACGCUGAGAAACGAAAGUGCGGGGAUCAAACAGG
RNAcentral lists this ribosomal RNA (253 nucleotides) under uncultured bacterium. RNAcentral's name for it is "partial 16S ribosomal RNA". It matches the Rfam family "Bacterial small subunit ribosomal RNA", at positions 524 to 776 of the family's 1533-position model. The record is from RNAcentral.